UGCAGUCGAACGAUACUCUUUAGCUUGCUAGAGAGGAAAGUGGCGCACGGGUGCGUAACGCGUAUGCAACCUACCUUAAUCAGGGGGAUAGCCCGAAGAAAUUCGGAUUAACACCGCAUAAAAUCACAGUACAGCAUUGUACAAUGAUCAAAUAUUUAUAGGAUUAAGAUGGGCAUGCGUGACAUUAGUUAGUUGGCGGGGUAACGGCCCACCAAGACCACGAUGUCUAGGGGAUCUGAGAGGAUGACCCCCCACACUGGUACUGAGACACGGACCAGACUCCUACGGGAGGCAGCAGUAAGGAAUAUUGGUCAAUGGAGGCAACUCUGAACCAGCCAUGCCGCGUGCAGGAAGACAGCCCUCUGGGUCGUAAACUGCUUUUAUUCGGGAAUAAACCUACUUACGUGUAAGUAGCUGAAUGUACCGAAGGAAUAAGGAUCGGCUAACUCCGUGCCAGCAGCCGCGGUAAUACGGAGGAUCCAAGCGUUAUCCGGAUUUAUUGGGUUUAAAGGGUGCGUAGGCGGCUUUUUAAGUCAGGGGUGAAAGACGGUGGCUCAACCAUCGCAGUGCCCUUGAUACUGAAGAGCUUGAAUGAAUUAGAGGUAGGCGGAAUGUGACAAGUAGCGGUGAAAUGCAUAGAUAUGUCACAGAACACCGAUUGCGAAGGCAGCUUACUAUGAUUUUAUUGACGCUGAGGCACGAAAGCGUGGGGAUCAAACAGGAUUAGAUACCCUGGUAGUCCACGCCCUAAACGAUGAAUACUCGCUGUUAGCGAUACACAGUUAGCGGCUAAGCGAAAGCGUUAAGUAUUCCACCUGGGGAGUACGGUCGCAAGAUUGAAACUCAAAGGAAUUGACGGGGGCCCGCACAAGCGGAGGAGCAUGUGGUUUAAUUCGAUGAUACGCGAGGAACCUUACCCGGGCUUGAAAGUUAGUGAAUCAUUUAGAGAUAGAUGAGUCCGCAAGGACACGAAACUAGGUGCUGCAUGGCUGUCGUCAGCUCGUGCCGUGAGGUGUUGGGUUAAGUCCCGCAACGAGCGCAACCCCUAUGUUUAGUUGCCAGCACGUCAUGGUGGGGACUCUAAACAGACUGCCUGUGCAAACAGAGAGGAAGGAGGGGACGACGUCAAGUCAUCAUGGCCCUUACGUCCGGGGCUACACACGUGCUACAAUGGAUGGUACAGAGGGCAGCAAGCUGGUAACAGCAAGCAAAUCUCCAAAAGCCAUUCACAGUUCGGAUAGAGGUCUGCAACUCGACCUCUUGAAGUUGGAUUCGCUAGUAAUCGUAUAUCAGCAAUGAUACGGUGAAUACGUUCCCGGGCCUUGUACACACCGCCCGUCAAGCCAUGGAAGUUGGGGGUACCUAAAGUAUGUAACCGCAA
Molecule: ribosomal RNA, 1381 nt
Filed under: unidentified
Description: bacterial SSU rRNA
Rfam family: Bacterial small subunit ribosomal RNA
Source: RNAcentral